Molecule: ribosomal RNA, 4387 nt
Filed under: Triticum aestivum (bread wheat)
Lineage: Eukaryota; Viridiplantae; Streptophyta; Magnoliopsida; Poales; Poaceae
Description: partial small subunit ribosomal RNA
Source: RNAcentral
GGUGAGCAGCGGCGGCGGUGUAAAGGGUGGAGCCCUAGGUAGGGGUAGGUUAGUCACACACGCAGGGGCUAGGUUUUAGGAGAGCUAGAGAGGGUGGUUGGUCGCGGAGGGGACUAGGGGAGGAGGUGGAGGACGUCGGACUCGUGGCCGGCCGGUGGUCUCGAGGAGGCGCCGGAGGAAGGAGCGGCCGGCUGGUUCGAAGUACGCGGAGACGGAGCUCCCGGAGGAGUAGGGGUUGGUCGUAGCGGAGGCCGGAGGUCAGCGGAAGUUGGUGGCUAAGCGCGCAGGGACGUGGGCGCUCGCAGGCUCCGGCGUAGGAGGAGGAGUAGGUACUGGUACAGCGGCGGCCGCUGGUCGUGAGGAUCCGGCCGGAGCGGAGGGAAGAGGAGGACAGGGGAAGGAGGGAACCGAGGAGAAGAGAAAGAGUGAGAUCAUAGAGGGCAGGAGAGACAAGAGCAUCCUCUUGCGGUACCUUCGACGUUCCUCGAGUUCGGGCGGCAGCCGGCGGGCGCUGGCGGAGGAGGCGUAGACGUAGCGGAGCGGUCUCGUGGCAGCAGAGGCGCGGAGGCCGCUGGCGUUCGGUGGUCACGUGGUCCUGGGUAGCACGCGGAGGAGACGUAGCUUGCCCCUCCUGCUCUACGUGCAAAGGAAGCGGUAGCGACGCGGGUGUGCGGUUCAGGGAGCAUCUAGGUGGUCUCUGACCAGGAGCGGCUGGAAGGGACGUGCGGGCGAGGGCGGCAGGACAAAGAAGGGCCGCUCUCGGAGCGGAGACGAGGUAGGCCAAACUCUCUCGCAACAGCAAGGGGAAGCAACUGGCGUCGGGCAAGGUUCAUGGCGCGGAGCGUUCGAGGACACCGACGACGGAGAUAAGCUAGGCCUCCUAGGGGAGCGGGCGAAGCAGUGCGCACCAACGCAACUGGUGCGCACCUGAGUCGGACGCGAUCCGGGUCGGCGAGGGAACGGUCAGGCUCGGUGGUGGCUAGCCCGGUGCCGGGCGAUCGAAGCCAAAGCAAGGCCUCAACACUCCUAGGUAAGCUGAUGCAAACAAACAGAAGAAGUACCUGAGCAAGAAGAAGGAACGCCCUAGAGUCCGUUCUACUGGUAUGGGAGCUUUAGUGAAGAUAGAAACGAACGAUCAACGAGCGAGAUAACGAUGCGGCACUAUGGAUGGUGAACGAUAUAGUACGGAGGGUAUAACGGUACAGUUCGGAGAUUGGGAGGAAAGGAUCUUUUGGCAACAAACCGAUACAAUGACGAAACGAGUCGGGUAGAAUAUCACAACGAUCAACGUCCACCUCUACCUCAAACAAGGUACAACCUUGUACCAAUAACAAACCCUAUAGUAAUAAUAAUAUAGAACAAAUGAAAUUACGUGGAUAUAUGAACCAUUUCCCACCUUCCGAGCCGGAAUACGGACCACAAAACAAGGUGAGAACGGCGGGAUCAAAAGGCAGUAUGGCCACAGUACAAGGAACUAAAAACGCAAGGAAUGCGCCAACCCACAAUACCCUUGGGGAACUGUCAAACGAAACUUAUUUUGAGGAGGUCGUUCCGGGUUGGAACCAAAAUGGUAAACGGAGUGGUGGUGGAUGAGAAGGGAGCCCAGCCGGUUGGACUCCCAGUAGAAAUAAAAUUCGGGGGGCCCGGUCACGAACAGAUUCACAACCAGGCUUGGCUCAUCUGACGCCCCGGUGGAGCCCCUUUGAUCUCCAAACCAAAAUGAGUAUCCUACAGAGUAGGCCACACGGAACUCUUGCUCUAUACACAUCGAGGAUAGCCCUAAACAGCCGUGUAAGCCCACCGAAACGACCAGAACAAAAUGGUAACAGCUUUCCAGAACAUUGGCCCUAAGGCUCAGACUAGCCCAGAAGGACCCUCUUCCUUAUAGGAAGCAACUGGCACUCUCGAACACUACCCGAUUCAACCCUGUGGGGACGUCCCAAACUUGAAAGCUUUCGGCACGGGCACCAAUACCCGUCUACCCUUACACAAUUACAGGCCAACAUCUCUUGAACUGUGAAUUGAAUAAAUUUUACGUAGUUGGCGCACACAUCGGCACUACCAGGGAAGAGCCGCCUCAGGCCCUUCACUUGUGCCAAAACCACAAUACAAACACGCAUUCAUCAAAGUCCUAGUGAAGAACUAGUGAUGAUCAAGUGCUGGCACGAAACGAAUAGAAGAGCGAGAAUAAACGUAUACAAUCGGUGGUAUAUACGAUCACGAACGACGUCGAGGUGGAGUGAUUGGAAAGGAUGGGUAUUCGAAUUUAUCAGAACUAGAGCGCCCACACUCUAGCAACUCAGGAGCACCGAGUGUCUAUGAAGGUUUAUCAAUGUCCACGGCUACUAUGGUCACAUCUACUAUGUUGGAUCGAGUUCACCCUCGAGCUACUUCUAGCACAAGCAACACAACAAAGCAAAGGUCAACUAGCCAUGACCUCGGGUCAACCCCGCUAGCCCCUAGAUCGUAAUCCCCACCAGAAGAAAAUAAAACCAAGGCAUCAGUCUGUAACUAACAUAAGACCUACUACAUUACGAUAUAAAUACAUAACACACUUCACCGUUAACAUUCGGUUGACACAUAGGGAAAGAAUAAGUCAUGUACCUUACACAUUUCUAAUGGGGAGAACGCCGUACGGAUAUUACGUCAAUACGGAGAUUCAGCACGAGGCUGUACACCCUCUAUAUCGGCGUAACACCCACAAUGUUGUACAAUCACUAUAACGGAGGUAAGUACUAAAAAGUGUAAGGGUACGUAGUACUAUAUAUACGGAACACACAACGUAGGUUAAGAACCUAAUGAACGAGGAGAGUAUACAAACCAACGUUGUUACAGUAGUGAAGUGUAUACGGUACAGGGUAACUAACGAUGUACGAACGGAACUAACGGAGUGUUUACUACUUGUUAACGAGAAAGGUAACACAACUCACGGUGUGCUAUAAGUGAUGUGGUAUACUUGCAAUACGAACCUAACAGAACGUGAACUGGGUAUACAAAUCUGUGAAGUGAAAUAAACCAUAACACUUACGAAGAAUACGUAUGGUAGCUGGAAAGUAACUCUUGAAACGGGUACGAAAGAUAUUGGAACUCCAACUACGAAUAAGAGCACAGUGUGUAUAAACGUAGUGAUGGAGUGUAAAUGUACGAACAGGGGUAGUAUAUAAACGAAUACGAGUUAAAUACACGAAUGUACGGUACAGUGAUAGGAAACGGUUUGGUAUGCGAAACGUACUACUGCUGUGAACAAAUCACUUAGUGGAGAACUUACGAACCAAAACGUGAUUGCGAUUGGUGUAAAUAAAAGGUUCACAAACAACAGGAAUGAGGAAAACUUCCUUAGUGUUCUGCCACGCUGUAACCUCUCACGGGUAAAGUUUGAAGUUCUACUGUUCAUGAACCACUUGUAGGUGAUGAUGUGCCGCUUCGGUAGAGAAAGGGUACCACUAAACCAAAAGCUAGGCUCCAGCCUAGAAAGGGUUCCCUCCCCUCUACUACGCCUCGUAGGAUACCUGUAGUGGUACAGUUCUCAGGCAAACCGUUCACCGUGCACGCUGGAGAUGAAGUGUAUGGGUUUCCACUUAGUAGAGGAAAUGUGCACCAGUGAACUGGGGAAUCUCCUACCAUAUGAUGAACUGUGAAGAGGGCACACGUACGUAUCCAUAACAGUCUUGAAGUGCCUACAACUCCUCUUCACGUUCGUGGUUCCUUGUUGAUGUGGUAGGCGCUCCCUUCAGACCUUCGCUGCUACCUUCUUCUGCCUCGACGACUGCGAUGUCGCCGGCCUGUAGGCCCGGUUGCCGGCCUGUAGGCCGCGGACACGUCGGCGCGUCCUCGACGUGGUUGUCUUCCGGUUCUCGAGGUCGCCGGCCUGUAGACCGCGGUCGUGCCUGUAGGCCGCUGGUUGGGGGCUUUAGGUCGCUGCGGAUAGGUCUCUUCUUAUCUAAGCCGGUGACGGUCCGGCCUGUAGGCCGGUCACGGGGCCUGUAGGCCGCAGAGCGCUUGUCGGCCUGUAGACCGGGGGUCGGGCCUAUAGGUCGCGGACGGACACGCGUACCUGUCCCGGGCUCCGGGUACAUAGGGGAAGGGGUGAAUGGGGAAGCACCGAAUCUGAUAUAUAUGAUGAGGGGGAGGAGGAUCAAUCCCGGUCGCAAUAGAAUCGAGUAAACACUCUAUCUCGAAGCGAGUAGGUAUAGCCUAGAUGAGGAACUCUCUCUGGCGCAGGGGAGAAGCCUCUUCUAGGUGGAACCUAAGUUCUGGGGAAAUGUUCUUCUAGGGGGAACACCUAAGUUCUGGAGGAGUGCCUCUUCUUGCCCGAUGGGAAACAUAUCAGGGAACAACCUACACCUAGCACAUAGAGAAACACAAAGCUCCUAGAUCGUAUACACAC